Molecule: ribosomal RNA, 465 nt
Filed under: uncultured bacterium
Lineage: Bacteria
Description: bacterial SSU rRNA
Rfam family: Bacterial small subunit ribosomal RNA
Source: RNAcentral
CCAGACUCCUACGGGAGGCAGCAGUGAGGAAUAUUGGUCAAUGGCCGGAAGGCUGAACCAGCCAAGUCGCGUGAGGGAAUAAGGCCCUAUGGGUCGUAAACCUCUUUUGUCAGGGAGCAAAGGCGUCCACGUGUGGACGAGAGGAGAGUACCUGAAGAAAAAGCAUCGGCUAACUCCGUGCCAGCAGCCGCGGUAAUACGGAGGAUGCGAGCGUUAUCCGGAUUUAUUGGGUUUAAAGGGUGCGUAGGCGGUUUGAUAAGUUAGAGGUGAAAUGUCGGGGCUCAACCCCGAAACUGCCCCUAAUACUGUUGGACUAGAGAAUAGUUGCGGUAGGCGGAAUGUAUGGUGUAGCGGUGAAAUGCUUAGAGAUCAUACAGAGCACCGAUUGCGAAGGCAGCUUACCAAACUAUAUCUGACGUUGAGGCACGAAAGCGUGGGUAGCAAACAGGAUUAGAUACCCCAGUA